RNAcentral lists this ribosomal RNA (320 nucleotides) under uncultured Rhodococcus sp. RNAcentral's name for it is "bacterial SSU rRNA". It matches the Rfam family "Bacterial small subunit ribosomal RNA", at positions 28 to 352 of the family's 1533-position model. Lineage: Bacteria; Bacillati; Actinomycetota; Actinomycetes; Mycobacteriales; Nocardiaceae. The record is from RNAcentral.
GACGAACGCUGGCGGCGUGCUUAACACAUGCAAGUCGAGCGGUAAGGCCUUUCGGGGUACACGAGCGGCGAACGGGUGAGUAACACGUGGGUGAUCUGCCCUGCAAUUCGGGAUAAGCCUGGGAAACUGGGUCUAAUACCGGACAUGACCUCAGGUUGCAUGACUUGGGGUGGAAAGAUUUAUCGGUGCAGGAUGGGCCCGCGGCCUAUCAGCUUGUUGGUGGGGUAAUGGCCUACCAAGGCGACGACGGAUAGCCGACCUGAGAGGGUGACCGGCCACACUGGGACUGAGACACGGCCCAGACUCCUACGGGAGGCAGC